This 786-nucleotide ribosomal RNA is filed under the name bacterium Ellin6542. RNAcentral describes it as "bacterial SSU rRNA". It matches the Rfam family "Bacterial small subunit ribosomal RNA", at positions 28 to 831 of the family's 1533-position model. The record is from RNAcentral.
GACGAACGCUGGCGGCGUGCUUAACACAUGCAAGUCGAACGAUGAACCACUUCGGUGGGGAUUAGUGGCGAACGGGUGAGUAACACGUGGGCAAUCUGCCCUCCACUCCGGGACAAGCCCUGGAAACGGGGUCUAAUACCGGAUAUCACUCCUGCCUGCAUGGGCGGGGGUUGAAAGCUCCGGCGGUGGAGGAUGAGCCCGCGGCCUAUCAGCUUGUUGGUGAGGUAAUGGCUCACCAAGGCGACGACGGGUAGCCGGCCUGAGAGGGCGACCGGCCACACUGGGACUGAGACACGGCCCAGACUCCUACGGGAGGCAGCAGUGGGGAAUAUUGCACAAUGGGCGCAAGCCUGAUGCAGCGACGCCGCGUGAGGGAUGACGGCCUUCGGGUUGUAAACCUCUUUCAGCAGGGAAGAAGCGCAAGUGACGGUACCUGCAGAAGAAGCGCCGGCUAACUACGUGCCAGCAGCCGCGGUAAUACGUAGGGCGCAAGCGUUGUCCGGAAUUAUUGGGCGUAAAGAGCUCGUAGGCGGCUUGUCACGUCGGGUGUGAAAGCCCGGGGCUUAACCCCGGGUCUGCAUUCGAUACGGGCAGGCUAGAGUGUGGUAGGGGAGAUCGGAAUUCCUGGUGUAGCGGUGAAAUGCGCAGAUAUCAGGAGGAACMCCGGUGGCGAAGGCGGAUCUCUGGGCCAUUACUGACGCUGAGGAGCGAAAGCGUGGGGAGCGAACAGGAUUAGAUACCCUGGUAGUCCACGCCGUAAACGGUGGGAACUAGGUGUUGGCGACA